This 450-nucleotide ribosomal RNA is filed under the name uncultured bacterium. RNAcentral describes it as "partial 16S ribosomal RNA". It matches the Rfam family "Bacterial small subunit ribosomal RNA", at positions 29 to 523 of the family's 1533-position model. The record is from RNAcentral.
AGCGAACGCUGGCGGCAGGCUUAACACAUGCAAGUCGAGCGGGCCCUUCGGGGUCAGCGGCAGUCGGGUGAGUAACGCGUGGGAACGUGCCCUUCGGUUCGGAAUAACUCAGGGAAACUUGAGCUAAUACCGGAUACGCCCUUUUGGGGAAAGGCUUGACUGCCGAAGGAUCGGCCCGCGUCUGAUUAGCUAGUUGGUGAGGUUACGGCUCACCAAGGCGACGAUCAGUAGCUGGUCUGAGAGGAUGAUCAGCCACACUGGGACUGAGACACGGCCCAGACGCCUACGGGAGGCAGCAGUGGGGAAUAUUGGACAAUGGGGGCAACCCUGAUCCAGCCAUGCCGCGUGAGUGAUGACGGCCUUAGGGUUGUAAAGCUCUUUUCUCCGGGACGAUAAUGACGGUACCGGAGGAAUAAGCCCCGGCUAACUUCGUGCCAGCAGCCGCCGCAG